RNAcentral lists this ribosomal RNA (416 nucleotides) under Paenibacillus jilunlii. RNAcentral's name for it is "bacterial SSU rRNA". It matches the Rfam family "Bacterial small subunit ribosomal RNA", at positions 1130 to 1533 of the family's 1533-position model. Lineage: Bacteria; Bacillati; Bacillota; Bacilli; Caryophanales; Paenibacillaceae. The record is from RNAcentral.
GCUGGGCACUCUAGAGUGACUGCCGGUGACAAACCGGAGGAAGGUGGGGAUGACGUCAAAUCAUCAUGCCCCUUAUGACCUGGGCUACACACGUACUACAAUGGCCGGUACAACGGGAAGCGAAGCCGCGAGGUGGAGCCAAUCCCAGCAAAGCCGGUCUCAGUUCGGAUUGCAGGCUGCAACUCGCCUGCAUGAAGUCGGAAUUGCUAGUAAUCGCGGAUCAGCAUGCCGCGGUGAAUACGUUCCCGGGUCUUGUACACACCGCCCGUCACACCACGAGAGUUUACAACACCCGAAGUCGGUGGGGUAACCCGCAAGGGGGCCAGCCGCCGAAGGUGGGGUAGAUGAUUGGGGUGAAGUCGUAACAAGGUAGCCGUAUCGGAAGGUGCGGCUGGAUCACCUCCUUUCUAUGGAGA